Molecule: long non-coding RNA, 22981 nt
Filed under: Citrus maxima (pomelo)
Lineage: Eukaryota; Viridiplantae; Streptophyta; Magnoliopsida; Sapindales; Rutaceae
Description: long non-coding RNA (CMAX_LNC004205)
Source: RNAcentral
UGGGGUUGAUUUGGUAUCAAGCUGAGUCAAUAGAGAACGCCAGAAGCCUACUGCGUGGAAUAAUUAAAGGACUCAAAGCUGCUUCGCUGCUGUUAGACACUGGUAAUGACAGAUCCGUGAAAAUGCAUGACAUAGUUCGUGAUGUAGCCAUAUGGAUAGGCUCAGAAGUACUAGUGGAGAAGAAAUUUUUUAGUAAAUUUGGCAUUGGAUUGGCUGAACGGGUAUUGGAAGAAGGCCUGGAGCAAUACAGAGGAAUCUCUGUAUUGGGAAAUAAAGAAGAAGAGCUUCCUAGUAGUUUGGUAUGCCCUAACCUUCAUAUUUUGUGAUUGGACAAUACUAUGUGUGACUACAAAUUGCAAGUUCCAGAACAUUUUUUUGAAGGGAUGCCAGCAUUGAAAGUUGUUACUAUAAUAGAUGGAGUCCUUUCACUAAAAUCGCUUCGAUUCCUCGCCAGUAGCCUCCGAGUUCUGCAGUUGAUUGGAUGUGAUGUGAGUGACGCGUCUUUUCUUGGAAAGUUGAAGAGACUUGAACUUCUUUAUCUCGAGGAUUCUCCCAUUGAAAUUCCUGAAGAAUUGUCGGAUGAACUUCGUAGAUUGAAACUUCUAUAUAUUGAUAUUGGUUCUGUUUCUCCCAUUACGAUAAAAAAAUUCCCUCAAUUAGAAGAAUUUUAUGGUCGGAUAAAAAAUUGGGAGGUUGAAGGGAUGAGUUCAGAAGAAAGUAAUGCUAGGCUUGCUGAGUUGAACUCCCAGGCUGACGGAUCUGUUGUAUGUCUUUCAAAGACUUUACAUUCCCGGAAUUGCAAAGGUACAUCAUGGGUAAUGGUGAACGAGUUCGCAAUAAAGUGGAAGAUGGUGAUAAGACAAGGAGCUUAACCAUUGAUAAUGACUCUCCUCAAGCGACCUCGCUGAAUAUUUUUUCAGCAUUGUAUCAACAUCUGGAAUUUCUUGAUUUGUGCAGGAUAAUAGGUUGUCAUAAUAUUGUGCCAAGCAUAGAUCCAAGGGGCUUAAAUGAGUUGACUAUUCUUGAUGUCGGCGAUUGUGAAGAUUUAGAAUGCAUAAUGGAUGCCUCUCAGUCACCGCAUGGAGAGGGUGGGAAUCCUAUGAUGCUCUCAAGAUUAGCAGAGUUGUCUAUGUGGGAAUUGCCAGAACUGAAGCAUAUAUGGAAGGCGCCCGCCCAACAUGUGAGCCUCCAAACUCUUACAGCAUUGCAAGUGUACAGGUGCAACAAUUUGACAUAUGUCUUCUCGUUGUCACAAGCUCGAAGUUUGAAGCAUCUUGAAAGUCUUGAAGUGCGGGAAUGCAAGAGACUGGAAUGUAUCAUCGAAGCGAAGUUUGAUCAUAAUGAAGGGGAAAUAAGUGUCGGAGAUAGAAACACGAUGCUCGCCCUCCCUUUGUUGAGAAAUUUGUCACUUGAACGUCUCCCAGAACUCAUCAGCUUCUGUUCAGAAAAUUAUUGUCCAAUUUGGCCAGCAUUGGAAGAGUUACUCCUUUGGCACUGUCCCAUCUUGACAGUCAACAGUACUGAAAUUCAAGCCAAUUUGCAGUAUCUUGAAGAGGUAUGCUUGUUUGUGUUUACGUUUUUUUUCUUUUUCUUCAAUUUUACUCAAAUUGAUAGUUUAUCAAUAAUUUUUAUGAACCACCUUGCAUUUGGCCUUGUAGAGAGAUGAUGAUGAUGGUAGUGCUAAUGGUGAUGUUAAUAAUAAGAUUCAAUAUCCUAGGGAAACUUCCUUAUUUUAGGCCUAAAAUUCAUUCUUCAAAUGAAAGUCAAAUUCUCCUUUUGGUUUUGAAGGGAAAAAAAAAAGGUUGGAUGCAAACACUUGUGAAGUAUAUAUAAUAUUAAACAAAGUCAAUUAAUUAGUUAAUCAAGCCAUAGAAAUAGAAUACAAAUUUUUCAUAAACAAACCGAUUUCAUCGUUACAUCACUUCACAUGAUCUCUUUUAAUUAAUUUCAUUUUUUUAUAAAUUCAUUACUUUCAUAAAAUAUAACUAUUUUGUACGGACUUAGAUUUUUUUUGGGUGUUUGUUUAUUGCUUAUCAUGUGAUAAUCCUAGCUGCUAAUAGAUUUUAAUUGCAUCAAGUUAUUUAUUUAUUUGUCUCAGAAAUUACAAAGUCUAAUUGUGGAAGGUUGUUCCCAUUUGAGUGACACGAUUCCAGCACUGUUGAAGCACGGCUUAAAAAAUUUGGAAGAUUUGAAAAUUAGCCAACUUGGAGUACAUGUGGCAUUUCAAUUGGAAGCUAUUAUCGCUAAGGGACAAGAAAACAAACUAUUCCCAUCUUUAAAGUCGUUGCACUUGGAACACCUUCGAGAACUGCAAGUAUUAUUAUAUCAUGAAGGUCCCACGCAUAAUUUUAGCCUGCAAAAUCUUACCUAUUUGAGAGUGAGCGGGUGCACUAUGGUGAGACCUCUCUUCUCAUCAACACUUGCUCGAAAUCUGUUGCAAUUGGAGAGGUUGGACAUUUGUAGUUGUCGGGAAUUAGAGCAAAUCAUUGAUGAGGAUGAGGAUGAGGAUCAUCUCCAACCUGUAUGUUUCCCAAAACUCGAACUGAUUGCUGUCUAUAGUUGCCCCAAACUAAAGCGUCUAUUUCAUGUCAGCGUAGCUCCAAGUCUUCAAAAACUGAAGCACCUAUGGGUAGUAAGUAAUUAUGAAUUAGAAGAAGUAUUCUGGCAUAAAGAUGGAGCAGACGUCAUGGAUUACAAUGGAAUUGUUAUGAAUGAACUUCAGGAAUUGAGACUGGAAGAUUUACCAAACCUCACCAACUUUUGGCCUGCGGGUUAUCAGAUCCCAGUUCCACCUGCACACGUUCGUCGUUGUCCCAAGCUUCGCGCAAGUUUAGAAGGAAAUAGAUGAUUCCGAGAAUUCUGGAACAGAGGUAAGCUCUUGAGAACUUUAAAUUAAUUGACUCUACAUAUAGUUGGUUCAUGUUUUCGUUUGUGACAGCUGAUUGAUCUAUCCUAAAACCAAUAGACCGUCAUUACAUGAACAUAUAUAUUAACAUUAAUUUCACAGAUGAGCCAUGGAGUUCUACCAAAAUUUCCCUUCAAAUAUCUUUUUUUUUCCUUUUCAUGUUUAUAGUUCUUAUUGUUAUAAUUUUCUCUGUUUGUUCUUUAAUGCCCAAUUUAUUGGUUGGAUAGCCACCGCAAACUACAAACGAGGAAGAUGCCAGCCAAGAGGGAGACGUCAGUGUAGAUGCCCGUGAAGAAGAAGAUGACGAGAAAUAUGAUUGAAAGAAAAAAGAAAAAAAAAGACGUUAUUAUCACUCUCAUUUCUUUGGGAAUGGCUGUUAGUUAGCCACGUAAUAUGGUCUUCUUCUUUAUUUUGUACUUGGUCUUUAGUGUUUCAGAGGGGUUCAGUUCGCGCGAGAACCUAACAAGCUUUAUUCUAUACUUGUUCUGCGGGUGGUCACUUAAUAUUUAUUGCGUGCUCAAAUUGUGAAGACUAAAGUUUUAAGGCUUUGUUGUAUGCAUGUGAAGAUUUGUUCAACUUCAAAUUUUACAUGUUCCUUUUGUGUUCACUGUUAAAACUUUGGCAAAUUUGUUGGCUAAAUUGAUGACCCUUUCGAUGGGCAUUAAUUGUGCCAAUUUAAUAUGCAUUUUGUAUUGAAGAACUUCAAAUGUUUAGCUUUUUGGAUGUCAAAAAGUGUGCGUCUUGACCGUAAUAAUUUUUAUUUUUUCAGUUUGUGAGAGUGUUGAAUGUAACUCAUAAAUGGAUUGGCUAUAAAUGUGUUUCUGGAUCUCUGGUACUUGUAAAUUUGUUAGCUACCCUUUCUUUUUGGCUUGUGGAAUGGGCAUUUGAAAGGUCAUUCUGUAAAAUAAUUUUUACUCAAUCAUGUUUUUUUAAAAAGAUAUUUGAAAGGAAAAUUCUGUAGUUGUUUCAUUAAACAAUCAACCAUCCACCUUUAAAUUUCUCUAUUAUUAAGAAUACUAUAAUAUUUUCAAGUUGUAUCAUUUAUCUACACUAAUUUUAUAAUAUGUAUUAUUUAUUCAUUAUACUUGAGACUCAAUUUAACGUAAAAAGAUGUAAGAAAAUUAUUAAACAUAUAUCUUUACCUUAUUAUUAAAAAUACUACAAAAAUUUGACUUUGUGCUUUUAUUAACCACCAAGACAUUAAUAUUAUUAGAAUAUUAACAAAAUUUAAAUAAAAUAUCAAUUUUACCUUUAAAUUCAUUUUUUCCUUUGUACCAUAAAUAAUAAAAUAGAAUUUAGCUUUUUUAAUUAUGAAAUCAGAUUUAACAAUUGGAUUGAUUGGGUGUUUAUGAAUUAAGGUUUAUGGUAAUAUUUAGAUUUAGCUUGAUUGGGUAAAGUUGUUUAGAUAAAUUGAGAAAAUAAAUUAGAAUUUUUUUAUUAAGAAAAAUAGAGUUUUAGAUGUAUUUAAUUGAAUAUUGGUUAUAAAAAUAGUUUUUCAUUUUUAUAUUUUAAACUAGUAUUUUAUUUUGUACGUACCGUAUAGUAAUUACGGAAAAUCUAAGCUGUAGUACCACUACCUGACAUCUUUAAAUAAAAAAUUGGCACCGUAACAAUGAAAGACCAAAUCAUAUCAAAGCAGAGAAAUGAAUUUUCACCCAAAUAAUGAUAUGUAAAUAGUGCCAAAGUUUUCGAAUUUAGACUCAUUUUCUCUCCUCAAUUCUAGAUUAAAUGACCGAUGAUAUGUUAUCAAUUGCAGGCCGCAGCAUCGAUAUCCCUCUCCCUCCAGAUACCUGAAUUAUGUUCAAGUUCUGUAUAUCUGUGUGUCGAGUGUGGUGCUAGCUGGCUACUAAUUUCUUUUCUUCUCUAUAAUAUGCAUAUGUUAACUAAUGGGCAAGAGCCAAUCUCACCUUUGUGUACUCUUGAGAGAAAGAAUUUGAUUGGUUAGACCAGAGGAUACGUGAAGUUUAAUUAAUUAAAUAUUUUUUUAAUAAUUUUAAUAAAUAAAAUUAUUGUUACAAUCCAGCUCACCAAAGAUAUCCUAAAUGCAUUUCCAUGCAAAUUUAUAACAAAAAAUUUAAAUGAAGUAAAGGCCACUAAAAUUCAAAGCUGGAAAAAUAGAAUUCCAACACUCCUUCUAAAAUCUUAAGAAAUCCCACUUUUUAAUAAAAUUGUAAAAAAGGACAUAAAAUUAGAAUAGAAUUUUUAUUAGAUUUCAUAUCAUUUAAAAUAAAUUUUGUAAACAUACUUUUUCAUAAUAAAUUUACUGUUAUUAUAAUUUAUUUCUUCAUUGUUUAAAAAUUAUUUUGAUUUUAUCAGUAAAAUUAAUUAUAUCACAUAUUAGGAUUAGAAAAUAGUAAGGUUGCAUGAGUUGUAAAGACAUGUUAGUUUAAUUAAAUUCAUAUUUAUCGUUUAUAUAAUUUUCAGUACCAUAAAAUUACGAUUACAAAAGUGAAGUGAUAUAAGGAUUAUACUCGGAAUAAAAUUCCUGGGCUUGUAAAAACCCAGGCCUGGCUAUCGACAGCACGCCUGGGCUUAGCCACACGUCCGGCCCAUUUGUUAUUCCUGCGAGUAAGAACCCGUAUGAAAGAACAUAGAAACAGAAGUCAAAACUUGUAAUUUUGUUAAGAUUUAGGGAACAAUAUUUCAUUCAUCAAAGAAAAAUGGCCAUGCGAGUCGGAAUCGAAUAUGGUAAUCGAUUUCUCAAUUUGCUGGCUCUUUCUUGUUUCUUCAUCUUCGACUUCAGCGCAGACCCACAAGAAGGAAAAGCAUAACAAAAGCAUCAUAUGGCGCUGCGUCCUGGUUCCUACUCCGGCACCAUCUCCCUCUGGUAAUUCUAUUUUUGUCUUUUUUUAGGUGGUGUUUAGUUGAGAGGAGAGAAUAUAGGAGAGGAAAGUAAUUUAAAUUCUCUUUUUUAUUUUCAUUGUUUGGUUUGACAAAAUGUAUAAGAAUUUAAUUUUCAUUAAAAUUUAAUAUCCAUCAUAAUAUAGAAUUUGAAUUCCAUACUAAGUAGUGAAAAAUUUAAAUUCUUCUUAUAUGAUAAACUUAAGUUUCCAAAAUUACCCUUCAAUUUUUUAACUUAUUUAAUGCCAUUAAUAAUUAUUAUUUAUAAUUUUAUUUUAUUGAUUUAAUAUUAUAAAUGAACCUCCACCGGAAAAUCUCCGGACCACCGUCGGGCUUCGCCAAAUCUUGCCGAACCUCCGCCGCAGGCCACCGGACCACCAUUUUAUAUAUAUAUAUAUAUAUAUAUAUAUAUUAUUACUAAUAUAAAUAGUUUAAUAUUUAAAGUAAAGAAUAAAUCAGUCUAAAAAAAAUUAUAAUUCAUUUCCUUAUCAAAUUUUAUAUCAAACUAAAUAACAAAAUUUAAUUUCACUACUUUUCUUCAUUCCUUUCUUCUCCCUUCAUCUCUAUUCCAUUCUUUUCCUCUCCUAUCUUUUCUUCAAGCCAAACAUGACCUUAGUCCCUGUAUGUAAUUUUUUUCCAAUCAAUAUUUUCUUUGUUUUGUUUUAUAUACGAUGGGAUGGAGUUUUUAUGCAUUGUUAUUGAAAGAUCAUUUAUUUUCUGAUCUGGGCGGGUUUUUGAGUAGUAAGAAUAGGUUGCUUUGGUUUCGGCUUUUUCGCUCGGUCUCGUUUAUGGAAACAUUAACGUCAAGUACCUCAAGGUACAAUCAUUCUUUGCUUCAACCUUUGUUCUUAAUUUGUGCUUUAUUUGUUUGUAACUGAAAAUGAUAGAAUUUUAACUGCAUUGUUUUUCCUUUUUCAGUAUUUGGUUUAGAUAACGAUUUUAUUCUGGUUUCUUGCUGUGUAUUUAGCUAAUGUUAAUAAUUUGAUUAGAAUUUAUAGUGCUUUAUUUUAAUUAUUUUUUGCUUGCACCAAAUGGGGCUCACCGCUACUUGGUGCUGCCCAAACUCACAUCAUUAUCGAAUGGCUAUUCUAGUGUUAGUUUAUACCAUCCGGAAAUAUUCUUUUUUUUUUUCCUGAAAAAUGCAGGAUACUGAAUCUCUUUUAGAGAACAUGUUUUGGUACAGUUUAUAAAAUCAUUUGUAAUUUUGUGUAAAUUUUGAAAUUAAUAAAUAGUAGUUUUCUUUUUCUUGUAAGUUUUAGAUCCUUAGUUAAAGUUACUGCAUGCGAUAUUAUUUAGUAGAUGUGAGGGUUUAAUGGGAUUGAUAAUUUAGACUCAUCUUGUUAUUGGGAAAGUUCAAUGGAUGAGGGGAAAUGUGAAUUCAAUAGCUAAAAUUAUCACAGGCUGAGGGGAAAUGUGAAGUCAAGGGGAGGAAUUAUGAAGGGACUAAAAUAUCUAAUACAUAAUUGUUAUUGAGCUUUAUAGAUAUUAGUUUUUGUGUUAUUAUUGCUGUGUUUCUACCUAUUAGUACAUUUAUUUUUCCUGCGUACAUACAACAAAUGAAUGAUCAUUUUCCUUUGAACCAGAAACUUAGAAGAAAAAGAAAACCCAUUGCUGUGUUUCUACCCAGAGCCCAUUUGUCUCAUUGUUUAGAUGUUCUCGUUUUGAGCUUAACUCACAAAACCCAUCAUUAAUUGUUGAACCAAACACUGUCCAACGCAAUGUGGGAAUUUUUAGGGAUUUGGGUGACAAAUCCCCAAAUCAGUAUCUUCAUUUGGGUUGUUAAAUACAUGGUGGCAUAUGCCAAUAGCCACGCAUUUAGUUAUGUGCCUCAAGUUGUAAGAAAGCAAAGAACAGAGAAAAAUUGUUUAACCAAUCGGAAAGCAAGGGUAUAAUUAGGCCUGCUGAGCCGUAUUUAUAUGGUGUUUGUGAAAGGAGAUUUUAUAAUAAUGACAAGAAUGAUCGUAUCGUGUGACAGAACAUUUGGACAGUCACAAGUCACAACUUAGCUUCAAUGAAAUCUCAAACUCUUUUUGGGGAAAAUAUUUUGGAGCUGUAAGCUGUUGAUACCGCUAUGAAUGUGCUUAAUAUAUAAGUAGAGCAGAUAUGUUGACAGAGAUUUUGUGGGGUUUUGGAAGUUGAAGGAUUGGCUAGCUGCAUCUUGUUCUGGAUUCAAGCUUCAUGUGCGAAGAUAUACAUGUUCUGAAUACCAUAAAUUCCUAUUGCUUAUUAUUAUUAUUUUGUCUUUAAAUCUUUGAUAUGUCCUAAGACCGUCUACUACUUGUAACUUGAUAUUCAAGCUUGAACCUCAAACCUCAUUGUUUUCAACACCAGAGAUUUUGUCAUCUCAAAAAGAAAAGUUAAUUAAACUUUGUGUUAAAUUUGUAGUUAGCAACGUCAUAAUUGUCAAGUAACCUCUUGAUUUUUUUUUACCUCUAAUAUGGUAAUUUGUAAAACUAUAUUACUUCAUCCUACCAUCUAAAUAUUUCGUUAAUUGUUUGGGGAUAUACUAUUUCAAAUGUCCUUUAAACCAAUUUCUAUCAAAACAUGCAAAUAUUUCGUUGUACAGAAUUAGACAAAAAGGAGACCAACAUAAACACGGGUGUAGUAAAACAAGUUAAUAAUAUUUACCACGACAAACAUUAGGUAAUUGAUUAUUUCUAAAACAUAAUUAUAACAAUGAUUAUAUCAAAAGUUAAGGCAUUUCCUAAACAUGAAUAGUCCUUGGCCAAUCUUUAUUUUUUUGUUAAUAUCUUUUCAAUUGCUUUGCCAUCAUUCCAACAAUUUAACAAUGCAAAUACAAAUGUAAUAAAUAUUUGGAUUUUAGAUGGCUUGAUAUAUUUUGUGAGUUGAUUUAACAUCAUUUUUCUAAAUGGUGAUGCAAGAAAAAUUCAAAUGUAAAAACCAAUGUUACGGUUGUUUUAUGUCUUAAAAGAACAAACGUUACCAGUUUUUAUUUAUUACAGAUCCAAAAAUUAUUUAAGAAUUGAUUAAAAUAGACUAUUAAUAAAAAAUUGAGAUAAAUAUUAAAUUUUCUAAAAAUAAACGUUCAUUUUAUGUACCACUGCCAAACAGCGUCUAUAAUUGUCAAUUUAAAAUGGAAAAGUUUGCACACAAACGAGAGACUCACAAGAGAGCGAAAAGUCCAUUAAAUUACGUUAUAUGAAGUCGAGUCUUGAUGUUAUGCGUGUCGGUACGCGCCAAGAUCAAAUUUUAUAUCCUAUGGCAAUAAUGUUUAUAUGAAGAGUGUCUUCGCUAAUUAUAUUUCCCAUAUAAAUUAGAAUUAAAAGUAGGAUAUAAAAGUAGGAUAUAAAACAACUAAUAGGAUUGCUAACAAUUAAACCACAUUGGGGAUUGGAGAAUUGGUGAAAAAAGCCCCGGCCACACUCCGGGCCUUUGUUAGUUCGGGUGAAAAAUUUUUCCCCUGAGAUUUUAUUUUUAAAUUUUGGAUGGAGUUAUUUAUAACUUAAAAUACAUUUAAAAGAGUAAUAAUAUAAUCACAAAUUCUUAUAUAAAUUUAUUUUAUACAAAUUGAUGCAUCAUUAAUUCAUUGGUUAAACUAAAUAUUUCUUAGCCCACAUGAUCUAUUUUUAUUAUUUUAUAUUUUCAUUCAACAAAUGAAUUAAUAUUAGUUUGUACAAGAUAGUUUAUAGGAGUUUGUGAUUGUAUCAUCACGUUAUUUAAAAUACUUUUUUUUUCAUAACACUAAAUUAAAUGAAAGAAUUAUCAUAUUUGAAAAUACAGAUUUUACUCUAUAAAACCCAUCAAAAUGCCAAAACUAUUCUUAAUAUUUUUUUUUUUUUUGAAUUGUAGGUUUAAUUUUUACUUAUUUAAUCAAAAUGAUGCUAAAAAAAGCAUCAGAGGAAUCGUGAUCUGGUUUGCUUUUUGACAGCCAAAUUGCGAAAUCAUCGAUUGCUUUUUGCUAGUGCUUGCAAUAAUUUAUUUUUGACGGGGAUAAUAAUCCAGCUAAAAAGUUGAAGUAUUGGCCGACAAGAUUGUCACUUUUUCUUUUUUUGAAGAGUCCUGCUAUUUACCCCGGGUCAAAUCCCGGGUCAAACCCCGAAACUAAGUGAAACGACGCCGUUUUCUCUCUUUUUUUUUUUGUUUUCAUUCUAUCUAAAACGACGCCGUUUAGUUAGAAAAAGAUUACCUCUUAUUCCCUUUCUUCAUCCUGGCACUAUGAGAUGAGAUUGAUCGUUUUUUUUCUUCUUCAUUUUUUCUCCGGUAUGCCGCUCCGUGAGCAAGCAAGGAGUGAGAGAAUAAAGUGGGCUGUGGUGAUGUUAGAAUUUGCACCUAUUUGUAUCUAUUUAGUGAGUAGCCUGCUAGUUUUUUUGAUCUUACGUUGUUUUGGUUCCAUGGGUUUGAGAAUUUCUCUACUGUUCGUCACUCUGGUUUUGCUUUUUUAUUGGCUUUGUGAAACACUUUAAAUUGGAUCGUAUUUCGUUUGGCUUUUCUCCAAAGUAGGACUCCAAUUUUGGGUGCGCAUCCUCUGCCAGUUAUGCAUAAAACUGGGCUUUGGUGGGGGUCUGAUCUUCGCCCUUGGGUUUAAAAGUGUGAUGGCUGUCGGUGUUGGUGGUGUCGAUGGUUGAGAAAUAGAAGGAGAAUGGCUGUGAGACGAAAAGGAAGAGAAAGCAAUUUGGGGCUGCAUUAACCAAGCUAAAUCGAUUUGGGGUUGUACAGUUCGUCAAAUGUCUUCUUAGGCAUAUAAGUAGGAGCUCUUCCAUGCCAACAUAGCUAUUUACAGGACAUCAUAUUCAACCUCCAGAACUACUCAUAGCAGAAGCUUACCAGAUUGGGGAGGUCCCUUGAUUGAAGUCUCUUAAUGUCAUUAGCAGUCACCUUACAUGACUCCAAAGUCAGUGAUCUUAAAUUCUUCAGUGGCUUCAGGUGACGUAAUCCUGCACUUGUUAUCUGGGAAUUUGAAACAUUCAAAGAGACCAACCCUGUUAAUCCUGUAUUUGCAAGAACAGAAGUUACGACAACAAGGUUAAAAGAUCCCCACAAUAUAUAUGAGUAUAUCAAAAAACGACGUCGUUUUAGGGAGAAUGAAAGAAAAAAAAAAAACAGAUGAAACGACGUCGUUUGUUAAUUUCGGGGUUUGACCCGGGAUUUGACUCGGGGUAAGUAGCAUUUUCCUUUUUUGAAAGUAACCCAUUUUAAAAUCCAAAGUAGUGGACUGGUACUCUAGUAUUUUCACUUUAUUGCAAUCCAAACUGGUAGAUGGGUAGUCUAGUAAAAGGCCCCCAGAAUGUCCUUUGUUUUACUGUAAAUUGUUUAUUUUUAAAAAAAUUAUAUAUAUAUAUAUGCUAAAUACAAGCUAAAUACAUAGAGAGAAAUCUAUUUUUAUUUAAAGAGAAUGAGUCUAAUAAGAAUAAGAUUCAAAUUCUUUCUAAUGAGAAAUAUAUAAUAAAAAAAUAAAUAUUUUCGAUUUAAGCUCAUUCUCUCAACAACCAAAAAAGAUACCCCAAAUACAAAUAGCAGAUACAAAGCGUCUUCUUGAAUUUCUUUGAUUUUUUAUUUUAUUUUAAAUGAAUUUUUACCAAUUUACCUUCAGCCAUUUAGAAAGUACUAAACGGAAUACAAACAAAAAAUUAGGGGUGGGCACGGUUCGGUUCGGUUCGGUUCGGUUCGAAAUUAAGUAGAACCGAUUUAAAUCGGUUAUUUUAUAAAAAGAACCGAAUAAGAACCAAACUCAAUAAGAACCGAACUCAAACAGUUCUUUUCGGAUCGGUUCGGUUCGGUUUUUUCGGUUCUGGGCCUAUUGGGCCUAUCUUGAAUUUUUAAAUUUUUAGCCCAUUGGGCCUCAUAAAUGUAAUAAUUUUUUUCAACAAUUAAUUUAUCCUAAUUUUAUUACAAAUAUUAACAAUAAAUACAAAGUAUUCAAAACACAUUUUAUCACUAAUAUCUUACUAAUUAUUAAUAAGAUACUCCCAAAAUAUGAAAUAUUAAAAUUUCAAAAUACAUAACCAAACUCCAAUACUCCAUCUAUAUAAACAUAAUCAUAAUGUUAUAAAGAGAAAUAACACAUAUUUGAUUUGAAUAAAAUUAUUAACACAUGUUUGAUUUGAAUAAAAUAAAAAAAUAAUUCGGUUCUUCGGUUCGAUUUUUCGAUUCAGCUAAGUGAACCGAAUACUGAACCGACAUUUCGAUUUUUUUUACAAACGGUAUAUUCGGUUUUUUUAAAAAAUAAAAACCGAACCGAAUUAGAAAAAACCGUCGGUUCGGUUCGGUUUUUUUAACCGAACCGAAAUUUUGCCAACCCCUACAAAAAAUUCACUUUGAUUUACCUUCAGCCAAUUCUCGGGGGAGAUGUCCCCCUCGUCAUACGCAUACGUACCAUUCCACUUUUCACCUUUCAAUUCACACUUUGAUCUGAAUUUUUUUUUUUUUUAAAAAAGGAAAGUGAAGCCACGAAGUCAAUAGCAAUUUGUGAUACAUGAUUCGGAUCUUGCUACCAAAGCUCAUUCAUUUCUCAUUCUCUUGGAAGUCACCAGAUCUGUGAGCUAGCUGCUCUCGUUUUGGUAUGUUACUUCUGCUUCCUAUAUCAGUUACAGUUAUUAUUUCAAUCUUUUUUUUUUUCUCCUAAGAAUGAAAGAUUUGACUGAGAACAAGGAGUUAUAUAUAAUGUUAAUUAGCUAGAUAUAUCCUAUGUUGUUUUGAUCUCAUGUUUAUAUAUGUUGCUAGAUGCGGCCUUUAGUUUUCUCCGAACUUGUGCAACUCUCUAGCGAGAGCUUUCAGCAGUAAUUGAAGAUAUAAACGGAAGAAGGUAUGAGAUAUUAUUGCUUCAUAGGCUCUUAAUUUGAUGUUUGUUUUACUUCCAAUGAUGAAAGAUUUGACUUAGAACAAGGACUUAUAUAAGAUGCUAAUUGGCUAGAUAUAUCCUAUGUCGUUUUGAUCUGAUAUUUAUUUAUAUUGCCAUGUGCAGCUUUUUAAUUUUCUCCGAACUUGUGCGACUCUCUUAACUGGGGAUUUCAGCAGUAAUUGAGGUUAAUUUUCUCCGAACUUCAUAGGCUCUUAUGGUUUCAUAGGCCCUUAAUUUGAUUUUUGUUUUACUUCCAAUGGCUAUACGAGCUUGUUUUAUGCCAAUUCUGAGCCGUUGGAUUAAAAACAUACGGACAAAAUGAUCAAGAACUUAAGUUCUAAUUUUUUAAUGCGUUUUUUCAUUAAUUAAUUUUCAUUAAUUUUUUUCCCAUUUGUUUGCAUUAAUUUAACUUAACGUCAAUCACCUCCAAGUCAGUACUGUUGACCAUACUUUAAAAAAUUAAAUUAAAUUUCCUACCCAAGUCCCAACAUGAGUCCAUUAUGCUCUCUUGCCAUUUCAAAUUGGUCCAUUUAAUGCGUGUUCUAAAUUGUACAACCACAAUAAAAAUUGAAAGUGGCGCUGUUCAUGCUCUUCUAUUUUCUUCAUGAAACCCAUUUGGCCAAUUUUUAAACAAAAUUUUUAUUAAAAAAUUUUAAUAAAUAUAUGAUUACUAAUAUAACUCUUUUAAAUUCGACAUAUAAGCUUAUUUUGCAGAUUAUCCUUUACAAAUUAGUCAAUUCUAAUUCGAACAUUAAAAGAAUUCACAAACAUUAAUAAAAAAUUCAAUUUUUUAUAUUUGUUUCCAAUUAAAACCUAAUUAAUAUUUAUUUACGUUUCAUUUGUUGCAUGAUAGAUUCAUUUGAAUUUUAAUUUAUAACAGACAAAAAUAUUAUCUUACACUUGAAAAGUCAUGUUCCAUGGCUAUAAAAGUAAUGACAUGGACAGUUUAGGUAAAAUUAAAAAAAAUACAAAUACUAUAACUAGUAAUAGGUCCAAACUUGUGAGAAUAAAAGAAAAUUUACCCCAAUUUUUUAUCAUACCAAAUAAGGUGUCAUUUAUAUCUAUCGAAUAAUAAGAUAGGGUAAUAAAUAAUUUAACAAAUGAUUAAAUUAAUUAUCCAAUAUGUGAGUUCAAUGAACAUUUAAAGGAAAAAGAAAUUAAGAUAUUAUUUGAAAUUAUGGUAUUAUUUUAUUAGAAUAUUUAUUAAAGGUAAAAAAAAAGAGUAAUAAUCUUGAAACCAUUCAUAUUUUUUCAUGAGUGGGCUUGCAUGGGAUGUUGAACUACUCUAAUCUCUAAUACUCUUUUUAAUUGUUAUUAUGGGUGGCUUUUCAGUUAUUCAUCACUUUGAUCAUAUUCCUCAUGCAACUGCCUGUCUUCACUCGCAAUGCACCACAAACUCUUAGGUUUAUCCAGAUUCUAUUAUACUUGUUGUUUGAUAUUUUUAUUUAAAAAUUUCUAAAAUAAUCUAAUUUCAAUAUAAUCCAUCAUAUAUAAUGUUUACCUUAUUUCAUUCUCUUCUGUUUUGCAUUUUGCUCUUAUUGAUCAAAGAUGGCGUUAAUAAGCCCAAAAAAAAAAUAAAUAAAUAAAGUAAUUAAACCAUGUUGUUCGAUCUUGUGAUCAAGCCUUGAUGUUUUGCUUAUAGCAUACUGAGAUCAACUUGUUAAUUGCAGAUAAAUAGCUUGGAAAUUUUAUCAUGUAUUGGAUCAAUGAGAAAAUUUCUUUAUAUAUUUUUUGUAUUUUAAGUAAAACAAAUGGUUUGGGAUAUUUUAAUUUAAAACUUUGACACAAAAUAUUGAGCAAUUAAUUUCUCACAGUCUAACAGUUGAUAUUGAAAGUCAAAACAAUAUUUUAUGAUUUUAAAUCAUCCACCAUUGAAUUACAUGAAAUCAAUAGUUUAAAUUUUGUUUUAAAAAUUUAUUAACACCAACAAUAUAUAUCCAAGCCAUCAUGUAGUUAUAUACACAUAUAUAUAGUAUCAUUAAUAAUAUAUAUCAAACAAUUUAUUACAAUGUCUUCUACAAUUAUUAUUAUUUAAGUAUUAAUGAUCUUUUAAUUAAAUUCAUAUAAUAUAAGUUAUUAUAAGACCUUAUGGAAUAUCUUUAUAUGAAGUAGGGAAAAAGACACCUAUACUCCAAAGUUUGGGGAGAUGGUCGCAAAAACUCAGUUUUCAAAAAGGAAAGACCUCUUUUGACCAUAAUACCCUUUUAAUUUAGUAAUUAGAAAAUUGAUUUUAAAGCUUUAAUUAAUAAAAAUUUACUCUAAUAAAGUAAUUUUUAAUAAUAAAUAGAAACAUAAUAUUAAAAUAAAUAAAUUAAAAUUAUUUUAAAUAUUAUGUAGAAAGUAAUUUCAAUAUUAUUAAUAGGGGUAUAUUUUGUUAACUGGAAAACCCAUUUAACCCAAAGAUUUAUUUAAAAUCUUUAUAAUAAAUAAAAAUAUAUUAUUAAAAUAAAUAUAAGAAUUUAAAUUUUAAUAUUAUUUUUAUUGUUAAAAAUAAUUUAAUAUUAUUAAUCUACUAGAUAGAUUAUAUUAUUUAUAUUAAAUUUGUCAAUUAAAAAAUCUUAAAGUCAAUUUUCUAAUUAUUAGAUUUAAAGGGUAUUACGGUCAAAAAAGGAUCUUGAUAUCCCUUUCUGAAAACCUAGGGUCUUUAUGACCAUUUCUCCAAACUUUAGGAUGUAGAUGUCUUUUUCCCUAUAAGGUAUUGUUGAGAUAAUAUUACCUCCUAAUUACAUUUAUUUCAAAACUAUUUUUAUUUCUAAUACCAAUUGUGAUAGAAGAAAAGGUAAAAUUGUAUAGCUUAUAGGCAGCACCUAACAUUUUUAAUUUCAGAAUUAUUUUUAACUUUUUCUGUUCAUUUUGUCGGUGCCCAAAAAAUAUUUAACAAUUGAUUAGAUAAAAGUGAUUUAAAGUAUGGAGAAGUACCACAACCUACAAAUUACUUGUUACAUAAUUAUUUGCCCCUCUAUUUUCUUCAUAAAACCCAAUUGGCCAAUUUCUAAAUAAAUUUUAUUAAAAAUUUUGAUGCAUAUACGAUUACUACUGAUAUAACACUUUUAAAUUCGACAUAUAAGCUUAUUUUGGAGAUUAUCUUCGUAUAAAUUAUACAAACCCCCAUUUAUCCUUAUACAAAUUAUUUAAUCCACAAACUACCAAUAGCAUAAAAUAACAAAAAUUAACUACUCAAAACAUCUUUUUAUAUUUGUUUCUAUUAAAACCUAAUUAAUAUUCUUUACUUUUCAUUUGUUACAUGAUACAUUUGUUUGAGUUUUAAUUUAUAUCAGAUAAAAAAAAUAUUAUUUUACAUUUGAAAAAUCUAAAUUAUAAUUUGGACACUUUAAUUUUAAUGAAAAUUUAUAUUACUAAAAUAACCCUAAUUGAAUUCACUACCAAAGGCAUUAAUAUAAUUUAAAAUAAUAUUAUUACUCUUAACACACACAAAAGUACUAAUAAUCGCUAAUAAUUUUCCCUUCAUCAUCUAAUCUAAUCCAUUAUAAAAGAAAAAUGCUCUGUUUUUUCCCCCAACUUGAUUUGGAAAUCAGCAAGCCACGUACUCUUUAUUGUUUCACUGCAUUAAUGAAACUAAAACACUUUAUAAAAUUAGUCACAAAAUAUUCCCAGAGCUGCAUUUGAAAGUAUAUAUGUAUAUAGCUAGUGGCUAGGUUCAAAUGUCAGAUGAGGGCAAAGCUACGUUGCAACAUACGUUUGGUACCCCUCUCUUUUGUCUUUAUUAAGGUUAAUUAUAAUAGUGUCCUGCUAUUUGUUGUAAAAAUAAAAAUGUUAAAAAAUUUUAAAGUUUUACGCAUUAGUCCUACACCUUCAUAACAUCAUUUUUCUCAUCCAUUUUGCACCAUCAAUGACAUCAUUUUUCUCACCCAUUUUAAUUAAAAGGUAAUUAAAAUUAUUUUCCAUAUAGAAACAUAAUAAUAAUAAAAAAUUAUUCUUAUUUUUUAAUUAAUUACAAAAAGAUAUUUUGUAUUAAAAAAUAUAGACAAUCACUAGUGACUAUUGUUUCUUCAUGUGCAAUGACAUUAUUAACCGAAAUGGAACAUGAAGGAUUCCAUUAGACUUGAAAUUGGAUGAUUUACAUAAAGAUAGUCUCAAUGCUAGCAAAUUGUGAUAUGUAAAGUUACAUGCUCCUUCUAAAAUAGGUGCAACAAUAACUAUACCAUCAAAACACAAGGAGUUACAUUAUACUACCACCUUUUUUUCUUUUUUUUUUUUAGUUUAGAGACCCUCAAAUUGGUUGUUAAAGGCAAUGAACCUUAAAACGUGAUGUAGGAAGCAUAUUAAAUAAAAUAAAUUAAAAUUUACUAGAAAUUAUAAUAUUUGGGUCAAUUUAAAAUUUAGUAUUUUUUUAAGAUUUAUCUUAUUUUAUUAAGCUUACUUGAGUUAUAUUUGUAAUUCUAAUCUAAUUAGGAUUUUAAAUUAUUUCUCUUAUUUGAGAAAGAUUAAGAUUAAAUUAGCUACUAUUAUAUAUGUAAGUUUGUUAUUCUUAAUUUAUGAUAACAGACACAAGCUUCUCAUUAAUAAUAUUCAAUAUUUUCACAAUUAAGAUAUUAAUCCUUAGUGGGAUUUUUUUUUUAAUUUUCAAGACAAAUGAUAUUAGAGCUUUUUUUGGUAGCAGGCAGAGCAUUCCUGACCACCAACUCCGUACAUUAGUUCCAUCAAGUUAAAAAAAAAAACUAGCAAAACCCGAAGCCGCCAUCACAUCUGCCACACACGGCUACCGCCGCCACCAGUUUCUCUUCUUUUCGAUCGAUCCUCUCUCCCAUCCGAAAGCCUACACGCCGCCAAUCAUAACCCAACCCAUAACACCACCAUCUCGUCACCGUAGCCACGGGAAACUAGUCAAAACAGCCGCUGAACCACCACGAAAAUCCGCCUCUCCAUUCGCUACAAUCAGCCGCGAUUCACAGCCUCCACCACCACUCAUUCGUCCACCAUCAUCAGCUCUUUCUUUUCAACCCACUCACGCUGCCAACCCCCGGCCAGAUCGUCGGAAACCGAAACCAACCUCCACCCGCUACUUUAGCUCAACUUUUUGGUCAACUCACAACUAUUUGAGACAAACCACCACCAACAUCACACUCAGCACCAUCAAAUCUUCCAAAUCCACCUAUCCUAGGCCAAUUUUUCGACCACCGUCGACGGCAACACCAACUUUUGCCUAUUUUUAAUUUUGCCCCUUUACUUUUCUAUACUUACACUAUUACCUAUAAUUUUCUGUUCUUAAAAAAAAAACCCAAAAACGAAACAAACUUAUAAAUAAAUAAAUAAAUUAGAAUUUACUAGGAAUUAUAAUAUUUGGGUCAAUUUAGAAUUUAAUAUUUUAUUAGGAUUUAUCUUAUUUUAUUAAGCUUACUUGAGUCAUAUUUGUAAUUAUAAUUUAAUUAGGAUUUUAGAUUAUUUCUCUUAUUUGAGAAAGAUAAGGAUUAAGUUAGCUACUAUUAUAUAUAUAGGCUUGUUAUUCUUAAUUUAUGAUAAUAGACACAAGCUUCUCAUUAAUAAUAUUUAGUUUUUUCUCAAUUGAAAUAUCUUCUCUUUGGUGAGAGUCUCUUUCUUGAGUUUUCAAGACGUAUACUAGAACGAAAUUUAGUAUCGCUUCCACUCUACGUUAAAACGUCAUCUAAUCAUAGGGUCUUGUUCUAGUUGUUUGCAUUGGAAUGCUCAUCUAUUGCCGGCAUAUCUAUUUAUCCGGCAACAUUGCCACCAUUACAUUGAUCAGAGAGUUUUGAUUACGUUGAUAGUUUUUGUUUCUCUGUUCACUCAUUUCUAUUUCUUAGUGAUGAUACUGUCAUUGUUGUCAUUGAUGGUGCAAUAAUUUUUAGCAAUAUUAUUUUGAUUUUUCAUUUGACUUACAAAACUUAAAUAUUAAAUAUAAUACUCAAUUUCAGUCACAUACACUUAAAUAUUACUAAUAUUCAAGUUCAUAGAUGGAUAUUGAAUAAAUCAAAUUUGGAGUAUUUUAGAUGGAUAUUAUCUAAUCUAUUUGGUUCAGAUACUUAGACAUCCAACUUGAAUGGAUUUGUUUGCUCUUUCUAGCUGUUAACUCGAUUAAUAAUUCUAUUGGGUUUGGUUUUAUAACUCCUAAUACGAUAACUCAUUCAUGACACAAAUUAAUUAUAUUAAUUGACUUCUAUUUUAAUUGAUAUAUAUGUGUUGAAUUGCCAUCUCUAUUGUUAUCCAUGUGUAUUGCCAUCUCUAUUGUUAUCCAUGUGUGAUGUUAGCAAGAAAGAAGAAAGAAUAGAAAAUACUUAUUUUUAGUUUAUUUUUCUAAAGAAAUAUUUAAAUUAUUUUCAAAUAGAGUAAUUGUUUAGAAUUUUUGUACCCUUCUCUCAGAUAAGUUAAUGACUAUUUAAACAAUUGGGGUGGAGUAACAAAUACCAAUUUAUUUAAGUGUGCAAUUAAAUUAUUAUUUUUUAUUUUAAGGACAAAAACUCAUUGUUAAAAAAAAAGAUUUUACAAGUUCAUAAACUAACAUUUGAUUAUUAUUAGUAAAUUAACAUAUUUUUGCUAGUUAAUUAAAUAAUUGAUAGUAUGUUUAAUAAAUAUUAUGUUACAAAAAAAAUUAACUAUAUAGAAUAUGAAAUUAAAUUUAUUUUUGUAUCUUGUAUAUUUCAUCUACUUGAGAUAAUAAAAUCUCUUGUGUUAAAAAAAAAAUUAUGGGUUUUGAACCUUGUUCACAUAGGUGAGAGGAAAUUGGUUGCCAUUAUGUUAAAUAAAAAAAAAAGAUCAUAUUUAUACUUAUCGUUAAUUAUGGUUAGUAAAUAAUAUACAUAGUUUAACUAUAUAAUAAAGUAGUUAAUUUAUUAAUUAAAAAUAUAUUAAUUUAAAUAGAUAUUAAUAAGUGUAAGAAAAAGUCGUUUAAUUAGAAACCGAGUUCAAUAGUUAAAAAGAAAAAAAGAGAAUAUUAUGGACUUAUACGUCAUAAUUUCAAAACUUUUGAUUUUGUUUUUAUUUUCUAUGAACAAUAAGGGUCUUUGUUGUUAAUAACCCAAAAAUUACAUCUCAGCCAUUCUGCAAUUCUUACGUUAAAUCCAACGGUAGAUUUGAAAAUGACAAAAAAUGGGGUACCAAACCCAUGGGUAUUGUAGCUGGACCCGUCAGAUGAAAGAAUUUCAACAUAAAUCUUGAAUCUUGAUAAUGCUUCGGAAUCAUUAAUUAACGCCACAUGGUUCAAGAAUGAUGAAUAUUUUAUGGGUGUAAAUAGAAAAUAAUUAGUUAAUGAAAUGGUCCUAAUGAAGGAUAGUUUUGACACUUGAAAUAGUGUGUAAAGUAAAAAUUAUUUUUUAAAUUUAUUUAUUGAAUGAGUGUGUUGAGUAAAAAAGUAUUCAAAAUAGAUUUUAGAAUGUAAAUAAUCCCAUUCUUUUUAAAAAUACUAAAAUUAUGGCUACGCAUAGGUCAAAACUUUAGAGACUAAGAGGAAAUUUAUCUCAAAUUUUACCAUCCCAAAUAAGGUACUAUUUGUGGAUUAAGAUCUCCUUCUAGUGUUUUUUCUCUCCUACUCUCUUAUAGCCGUCCAAAUCUAAUUGAAAAAAGGAGAAAAAAAAAUUGGUUUAAUUGUUAAUAAUGUGAAACAAGCCAAUUUAAUUGUCAAUAUCAAAAAUUAAAAUUCAAUUUCGGCCACUUAUUUCACUAAGAGAUUAGUGAGAGAAAAAAAGUCUAGGAGACGAUCCUUCUCCACCAUUUACAUCACUAGAUAGUGAGAUGGAGUAUUAAAUAAUUUAAAAAAUUAUUAAAUUAAUCAUCCAAUAGGUGGGUGCCAACCAGUUGAAUAAUAUUAAGAUAUUAUUUGAGAAUUCUGGCACCAUUCUAUUAGAAUAUUGGGUGGAAAAAAAUCGGUAAUUAUCUUGAAAACUUUUGAAUUUUUUCAUGAGUGGGCUUCAGCCCCAUCUAAAUCAUUAUUUUUUCUUUUAAGUAUACCAUGAGUCCCUUCUAAAAAAAGAUAAUAAAAAGAAUAUGACCACAUUUAAAUGUAACAAAAUGCGUGUAAUUUAGUAGUAAGAGUUAUGCUUUGUGGCUUAGGAGACCUUAGUCAAAAUUGUUGGUUCAAAUCUAAAAAAGAAUUGUAAUUUUUGAACCAAGUUGAUCAAUUUGACCAUAUUCUCCCAUGCUGUUUAUCCAGAUUCUAUUAGAUUUCUUUGUUGUUUGAUAUUUUUUAUUUAAAAUUUUCUAAAAUAAUCUAAUUUCAAUAUAGUCCAGCACAUAUUACGUUCGCUGGGGCCUUUAUGGAUAUACUCUUGUGAAACGCUUGUUCCAUGUUUGAACAAAUUAGGAAAACUCUUGGGUUUGUCUUGAUUUUAGUAAAUUUGUCUGCAAGCUAGCUAACCUUUAUCCGUCCUUAAAAAUAAUAAUAAUAAUAAUAAUAAUAAAUUACCUUAUUUCCUCUCUUUUGUUUUGCAGCUAAUGGCCACUUAAAGCUCGGCGUUUGCAUUUUGCUCUUACUGGUCAAAGCUAGUGUCAAUAAACGUGCAUUCACAGAAUAGAAAAAGGUAAUUGAACUUUCUCGUUCGAUCUUGUGAUCAAGCGUCAUUGUUUUGCUUAUAGCUUACUGAGAUCAACUUUAUUAAUUGCAGAUAAAUAGCAUGGAACUUUUGUCAGGUGUUGCAUCAAGGCUUGGAGAAUUGUUGGUGGAUGCAACCAUAAACCAAGCUCGUUAUCUGCUUUGUUUCAACAGCGUUAUUAAAGAACUUGAGGAUAGAGAAACUAAUUUGAAGGAGGCACAAGAUGGCAUCAAUGAAAAAGUAAAACAAGAGCGACAAAUCCACCGAGCCAUUGUAAUCGAGAAAGAUGUGGAGAAGUGGCUGAAGGAUGUAGACAAAGAAAUGGCCGAUGUUCAAAAUUUGAAAGCAAAGAUAGAUGAAAAGAAGAGUUGUCUUAAUGGAUGGUGUCCUAAUUGGGGUUGGCGAUAUUGGCUGGGUAGAAAAGCAUCAAAGAAGAGUAGCAAGUUGUCUGAACUACAAAAUCGAGGCAAAUUCAUCUCAGUUGCCCUUCCUAAACCUCUACCAUCAGACAAAGAAUUGCAUAUGCCAAGACAUUUUAUGUCUUUCGGGACUACAAAAUCGACUUGCAAUCAGAUUAUUGAAGCACUGAAAAGAGAUAGCACGAAGAUGGUGGGAUUGUAUGGUAUCGGUGGUGUCGGAAAGACGACUUUGGCAAACUUUGUGGGCAAUCAACUUCGGCAAGAAAAGAUUUUCGAUGAGGUGGGGAUAGCCACUGUGUCUCAGGAUCCAGACAUAAUAAAUGUUCAAACUGAGCUGGAAAAGUCGUUAGGCUGGAAAUUAAAGGAGAAAGAUGUUAAAGAGAGAGCAGGCCGAUUGCGCUCGAUGUUCUCUGACAGUAAAAGCCGCAAGAUCCUCAUAAUCCUUGAUGAUGUCUGGAAUGAACUCGACUUGGAGACAGUAGGUAUUCUUGUUGGUGAUAGAGACAAUUGUUGCAAAAUCUUUAUAACCACUCGCCUGCAGCCAGUUUGUGAUCGCAUGGGUUGUGACACGCGGAUUCAACUAGGUGUUCUAAAGCCAGAAGAAGGAUUGGAUUUACUAAGAGAGCAUGCUGGCAUUGUUGUUGCUAAUUCAACCUUGAUUGGUGUUUCGGAACGAGUUGCUAAUGAAUGUAAGGGGCUGCCUUUAGCUAUUAAAGUUGUUGGAAGUGCACUAAAAGGUAAAGGAUUUGAUGAGUGGAAUCUAGCUCUAGAUAAACUACAAGAUGCAAAACUCAAUACAAUAGAAGGUAUUGGCAAGGAGGACCAAGACGUUUACCAUUGUCUCAAAUUUAGUUACGAUUAUUUGAAUGGUGAGGAUUCCAGGUCGUGCUUCUUGUUGUGUUCUUUGUUUCCAGAGGAUUAUGAGAUAUAUUUGGAUGAUUUGGUUGGAUAUGCAGUGGGGUUGAGAUGGUAUCGAGCUAAGUCAAUUGAAAAAGUCAGGAGCCUACUGAGUGGAACGAUGAAAGAGCUCAAAGCUUCUUCAUUGCUGUUAGACACUGGCAAUGACAGAUCUGUGAAAAUGCAUGACGUAGUCCGUGAUGUAGCCAUAUGGAUAAGCAAAAAGAAGGAGGAGGAAGAGGAGAGAUUUUUUAGUAUAACUGGCAUCGAAAUGGUGGAACGGGCGGUGGAAGAAGGCCUGGAACAGUGCAGGGGAAUGUCUUUGGUCGUAGAUAAAAAAGAAGAAGAGCUUCCUAGUAGUUUGAUAUGCCCUAACCUUCAUAUUCUGCGAUUGGAGAACACCGUAUAUUAUUACAAAUUGCAAAUUCCAGAACAUUUUUUUAAAGGGAUGCCAGCAUUGAAAGUUGUUACUAUAAUAGGUGGAGUCCUUUCACUAAAAUCGCUUCGAUUCCUCGACAAAAACCUCCGACUUCUGCAGUUGAUUCGAUGUGAUGUGAGUGACACGUCUUUUCUUGGAAAGUUGAAGAGACUUGAACUUCUUUAUCUCCAGCGGUCUCCC